Molecule: small nuclear RNA, 102 nt
Organism: Dipodomys ordii (Ord's kangaroo rat)
Lineage: Eukaryota; Metazoa; Chordata; Mammalia; Rodentia; Heteromyidae
Source: Ensembl
GUGCUUACUUCAACAACACAUAUACCAAAAUUGGAAUGAUUCAGAGAAUCAUGGCUCCUGAUCAAGAAUGACAUGCAAAUUCAUGGAGCAUUCCACAUUUUU